Molecule: ribosomal RNA, 473 nt
Filed under: Noturus leptacanthus (speckled madtom)
Lineage: Eukaryota; Metazoa; Chordata; Actinopteri; Siluriformes; Ictaluridae
Description: partial 12S ribosomal RNA
Rfam family: Bacterial small subunit ribosomal RNA
Source: RNAcentral
ACAUCCGCCCGGGUACUACGAGCACAGCUUAAAACCCAAAGGACUUGGCGGUGUCUCAAACCCAUUUAGAGGAGCCUGUUCUAAAACCGACACCCCCCGUUAAACCUCACCACUUCUUGUUUUUCCCGCCUAUAUACCGCCGUCGUCAGCUUACCCUAUGAAGGCCUAACAGUAAGCAAAAUGGGCCUACCCAAAAACGUCAGGUCGAGGUGUAGCGUAUGGAGUGGAAAGAAAUGGGCUACAUUUCCUAUAUCUAGAAUACAUACGAACAGCACCAUGAAAAUUGAUGCUUGAAGGUGGAUUUAGUAGUAAAAAGCAAAUAGAGCGUUCUUUUGAAUUAGGCUCUGAGACACGCACACACCGCCCGUCACUCUCCCCCCGCACCCUAAAAAAUAUUCCUAAUACAUUAAAUAUUAUUACGGGGAGGCAAGUCGUAACAUGGUAAGUGUACCGGAAGGUGCACUUGGGGUAAU